ACUAGCAUGAUCCCCCUCUAGGUUUCCACCAUAUCUUUUGAUCUAUCUUAUCUCUGGCUUGUAGCAUUAACUUUCAUACUUGAGAUCUACCAUUUCAUUCAACAAUUUGUGGCCUAUGUCUUUUGCAAUACUUGUUCCAUAGGAAAUUAGCCCAUAAAGACUUCUUGGUUCUGAAACUCCACCAAAGUUUGACAAAUAGUGUAUGUGAAACAUCAAACAUAGACCUAAACCCUAUCUCUUCUUCUCUGGGUUGACAAAUGUCUUCCCAAGCCACCC
Molecule: long non-coding RNA, 276 nt
Filed under: Solanum tuberosum (potato)
Lineage: Eukaryota; Viridiplantae; Streptophyta; Magnoliopsida; Solanales; Solanaceae
Description: long non-coding RNA (STUB_LNC010825)
Source: RNAcentral